This 385-nucleotide ribosomal RNA is filed under the name Theileria buffeli. RNAcentral describes it as "SSU rRNA". It matches the Rfam family "Eukaryotic small subunit ribosomal RNA", at positions 475 to 900 of the family's 1831-position model. The record is from RNAcentral. Lineage: Eukaryota; Apicomplexa; Aconoidasida; Piroplasmida; Theileriidae.
AAAUAACAAUACGGGGCUUAAUGUCUUGUAAUUGGAAUGAUGGGAAUUUAAACCUCUCCCAGAGUAUCAAUUGGAGGGCAAGUCUGGUGCCAGCAGCCGCGGUAAUUCCAGCUCCAAUAGCGUAUAUUAAAAUUGUUGCAGUUAAAAAGCUCGUAGUUGAAUUUCUGCUGCAUUACAUAUCUCUUGUUUGAGUUUGUUUUUGUGGCUUAUUUCGGUUUGAUUUUUUCUUUCCGGAUGAUUACUUUGAGAAAAUUAGAGUGCUCAAAGCAGGCUUUUGCCUUGAAUAGUUUAGCAUGGAAUAAUAAAGUAGGACUUUGGUUCUAUUUUGUUGGUUUUAGGUACCAAAGUAAUGGUUAAUAGGAACAGUUGGGGGCAUUCGUAUUUA